UUUUGCAUGAAAAAAAUCUUGGAGGAAGACCCAGGUUCGGCCGCCGAACCUCAAGUUCGGCCGCCGAACAUGCAUGCACUUUGGGAGAGCCUUAGGCCCCCGAAGGCAUAAGUGAGGGAAGUCCAGGUUCGGCCGCCGAACUUGCAUGCGUUGCGGAGGCACGUUCGGCUCCCGAAUGUGGCUUGGCCAGCCACCUAUAAAGGGGUCCCUUAGCCGAAAACGGGCGAGUUUUUCUCCCCAUUUUCGGCCAAGGUGAGCUCUCCGCCGUCCCUCACCGAUCUUGAGUUUCUUCCUUCCAUUCUUCAUGAUUUUUAUGAGUUUUCACCUUCAUUUUGAAGAUUUUCGAGUAUAAAGCAAGUUUUGGAGCUUUGAGGUUCAAGAAGCUCAAUCUCUCCCAUCUCCGAGCUAGGGUCGUUCUCCUCUCGAUCUUCAAGAGGUAAGGGCCGAUCUUGAGCUCAUUU
Molecule: long non-coding RNA, 461 nt
Filed under: Manihot esculenta (cassava)
Lineage: Eukaryota; Viridiplantae; Streptophyta; Magnoliopsida; Malpighiales; Euphorbiaceae
Description: long non-coding RNA (MESC_LNC007575)
Source: RNAcentral